RNAcentral lists this long non-coding RNA (675 nucleotides) under Mus pahari (shrew mouse). RNAcentral's name for it is "lncRNA (MGP_PahariEiJ_G0012071.1)". Lineage: Eukaryota; Metazoa; Chordata; Mammalia; Rodentia; Muridae. The record is from RNAcentral.
CUGAGCCAGAAUGAGCUUUAUUACGAGAAAGCCUCAAGGUGGGUGGGAGCAAAGGGGGCCGUGUGAGAACAAUGGGAGAGUCGGCUCUAAGUGGAAGAAGAGAAAGAGCCACCAUCUACAGCAUGGAGUGGGGUUGGGGGGAGACAACCUUCACAAGGUUCACAGCUUUUCGGGGUAUGUGUAUGAAGGGGAGUCAGUCUUCCUUAGCCUCUGUGACUCCUGGGUUCACUGAACCAGCAUCCUGCCACUGAAGAGCAACCUGCUGGUCCAGACCAAAAGUCAGUAUAUGACAACAAAACUAUAGGAACAAGGGCUGGAGAGUAGCUCAGCCUUUAAUCCCAGCACUUGGGAGGAGACAGGAAACAAUUGGAAACUUCAGGCAGCCUGUUGACUGGAAUGCCCCGUUGGAGACCCAUCACCCAGAAUCAGAGAGCUUCAAGGAAUUAAGUUUGAGUUUAUUGAGCCAAUGUUUACAAAGCCCUCUUGAAAAACCUUGCUGGCCAGGUAUGGUAGCAUCUGUCAUCUGACCAUUCUGAAAGCAGAGGCAGGAGAAUUUCGGCAAGUUCACUAGCCUGGUCUACACAGCUCUAAGUUAUCAAGGUACAUGGAGAGACCCUGACUCAAAACAAAACAACCUCCAUGUUGUCCCUUAAAACAAACAAACAAAAACCAAAG